AACCUGGAAUUUAGAUCAUCAUCAAGAGUUAAUCAAUCAGUCAAAAGCAUAGCAUGGCUUCUGGCACUAAGCCUAUAUUUGUCAUCUUCAUCAUCUUCUCCAUCCUUUUGCUGCUCUUUACUAGUACACCAACCUUUGCAGCACGUCCAAUUUCAAUUAAUUCUCCAGGCGUUUUGGACCCUAAUAGACCCGCUUGUGGUGGAUCGAAAGGGAGACCUUACGGUGCUUGUAAGUCACCACCGCCACUGAAGAAGAAGAGGAAAUGUAACCGUUAUAACGGUUGUCCACCAGAGCAAACAAAUGAUGUUGGUACCGAUCGUACCCGACUAAAUAUCAAAACUAACAAUUGAAGCCACCUGUGAAACAAUCAAACAUGCCAUGCGUGAAUAUAUAUAUAUAUAUUGGUGAUGCAGUAAACUUGGAUCAUUAAUUAUUUAUGCAUGCAUGUUGUAUCUACCAGCCACUACAAGUUAUCAUCCUUCCUGUAUCUGAAGGCUUGAAUAAAUAAAUAAGUGGCAAUCUAUGCUUCUAGUUUGUCUGAAAGAA
This is a long non-coding RNA of Dioscorea cayenensis subsp. rotundata (Guinea yam), 546 nucleotides long. RefSeq lists it as uncharacterized. The transcript is spliced from 2 exons. NCBI's taxonomy places the organism in Eukaryota, Viridiplantae, Streptophyta, Magnoliopsida, Dioscoreales, Dioscoreaceae. The record is from RefSeq and is a predicted model, not a curated record.